This 38-nucleotide transfer RNA is filed under the name Chaetops frenatus (Rufous rock-jumper). RNAcentral's name for it is "partial tRNA-Met". Lineage: Eukaryota; Metazoa; Chordata; Aves; Passeriformes; Picathartidae. The record is from RNAcentral.
CAACCCCGAAAAUGAUGGUUCAACUCCCUCCCCUGCUA